Molecule: long non-coding RNA, 959 nt
Filed under: Homo sapiens (human)
Lineage: Eukaryota; Metazoa; Chordata; Mammalia; Primates; Hominidae
Description: HSALNT0376970
Source: RNAcentral
GAAAGACGGGGCCUGGGGAGCUCAGUCCACACUGUGCUCGAGCAUUAGCAUGCACUAGAGAACCAGAACUAGGCUCCAGCGCUCCCAUGCGACCUUGGGCAAGUCCUUUGACCUCUCCUGCUUUAAAUGGUCAUUUGGUACCUAGAAAGUAUCAGCAGUAGCUUCCAGGUUCAUCUUGCACUGAAAAUAUUUCCUGGUAUCAAGGAGCCUGUGCAAGGAAGAACAAGAAGAGUGAUUCUAACAGGGAAGGCACAGAGUGUUUUUUUUUCUUCAGGACUUUCAGGAAGGAAAACUCUCUUCCUUUACUGACUACUCUUCCAAUACCUGCUUUUCUGUCAUCUUAGAGCCCAGUGACCCUCCAAGGGUCAGAAGCAGGGUCAUCUGAGUAAGAGUAGAAGCUUCCAGAGACUUCACUCUCCAAGCCGUGAUUUGAGAAAAGGAUCAAGAACGAAUUCUAGGACAAAGGCCCUUGCAAAUGCAGUUUCAGGGACUCACUCAGAGCUUCUUUGGGAAAAAAGAAUGGAGCUUAUCUCCUUCCCCCACCGUCAAUCUACUUCCUGUUCCUACUCCAGGGAUAUACGAUGUCCCACUCAAGCUUGUAACACAGAAUCCCAGCACAGAUCAACAGAUGCUGCUACACAUGCACACACUUGCGUAUGUGUGCGCCCAAGGAAAGGCUGUUCCGGAAUGCUUAGGAAAGCCAAUUGUCACUCUAAGAAGGGACCAGCAUGAUGUACUGGCAUGCCCAUCAUAAAAAAAUCACUACUCCCACCUCUAGGUUGUCUUGGUUUACUUUAUAACAGCAGUUCUCAAAGAGUGUUCCAGUAACUCUUGAGGGGACUUGAGCCGCUUUCAGGGAAUCUGCAAGGUCAAAACUAUUUUCAUAAUAUUAUUAUGAUGUUAUUUGCCUUUUUUACUUGCCUUCUUUCAUGAACAUAAUUGGAUAUUUUAGAGGCUAC